RNAcentral lists this long non-coding RNA (17662 nucleotides) under Solanum tuberosum (potato). RNAcentral's name for it is "long non-coding RNA (STUB_LNC004443)". The record is from RNAcentral. Lineage: Eukaryota; Viridiplantae; Streptophyta; Magnoliopsida; Solanales; Solanaceae.
GAAAAGAUGGGAAAAAAUAGACGAACUGGCAGAAACUAGAUGAGGUUAGGGUACACAGCCAGAGCCUUCUCAUACUUAAGAGACCCAUCAGAGUAAAGCAGAGCCCAAUAACAAAGCUUGUGGUAGCUGGCAAAGUAAGAAUUUGACUGCUCAAGCUCUGAGUACUUCCUAAUGACACUGUUCCGCAGUUGAACGUUGCAUGACAGGUAACCGAUAUACCCACUUUAGAUCAAUAGACAAAAGUAGGGAUGUGAACAGUCUCACAUUUCCCUGACCUUCUAAAAAGAGCCAAAACUACCAUUCUCACAUAAGAAAUAACAUUUUCAUAACUUUUACUGCUCUCCCUUUAGCUAUUCAUUUGCUUCAAAUAAGAUUCACAUGAAGGAGUAGCUGUUAUCUUGAAGAAAUGUUCAAUUUCAUACUUGCUUGGAUCCCUCACUCUAUAUAACUCUUACUGUACAUUCUUUUAGGAUCCUAAGUUGGGAAGAUUUGAAUAUAAUAUAUAGGUGAUCCAAUGGUGUUCUCCUUUUUCCCAAAACAUCUAUCAAACCUGUCCCAGUAGGGUGGCCUAGAAGUCACAGAGCCAUUUUAACAAUUUUCUUUUAUGACUGUGAACUUCACAAGGAGCCAGCCCUUUGGGCCAACACCAUAGCCUUCACAACUUGGGGAUGAUGGAUUUUCCCCUAUAGUCUCUAUCCUUCUCAACUUAAUUACAGGACUUAGUAGUUAGUUCACUUGGCACAGGACUCGAAUCUGUGACCUAAGAACAAGUCCCUCAACCUUCCUCUUUUUAACAAUCUAGGGAAUCAACGUUCCAAUCCUAAUCAUAACAUAUGCAAAACUACGUAAAUUCUUUCCAUCAACCUAAAUAUUUGGGGACAAAGCUAAUCAAUACCAUUGUUAGUCAAGGAACCUCUAAAUACCAUUGUUAAAAGAAACAAAACAAAAAGAACAUCUAGUGUCCAUCACAACAGAGAUGUAACCUCAUAAUAUCCAAAAAUACCAAAAACCGAUAAAGCCCAUAGAAGUAAUCCAUUCCGCUGAACAAAACCAGCAUAUCAUAAGUCUCUUUCUACUUUCUUUACUCAUAUUCUAUAGGUCAAUUGGCUUCAACAGGUGAAAAAAAAUCAAAAUUAUCAAACUACUACUUGAAAACAAAAUGCAAUGAAACUUAAAUAACCUUAAUGAGACACCACAAUGUUACUACUUAACAACGCAUACUAGAGCAAAUAGGUUUUUAUAUAAUGACUGGCAAUCAGCUUGUAUAGGGAAAAAAUGAAAUGUAUCCGAACUAAUACUUGAAAACAACAACAACAUACCCAGUGUAAUCACACGAUUGGGAUCUAGGGAGGGUAGUGUAUACACAGCUUACCCCUCUCCCUUGGGUAAAGGUUGUUUCCUAUAGACCCCCGGUUUGAAUAAAACAUAUCAAAUCAGUUAUCAAAAGGAAAUACAGCAGUGAAGAAGCUAAGUCAAAAAUACUGGAGAACAAAACAAUAGAAACAACAAAUAGAUAGCCGAAGCAAAGGAAAUAACAAGUAAUAAUCAAAUCGAAAAAUAAGAUAGUAUGAGAGUACGGAUAAUAAAUCUUAUAAGAAAAACUAUUAAACUCUCAACUACCUACUAAACUUCCACCCUAAUUUUCAACCUCCAAAUUAAAUAAAAUUAAACAAUCUUAAUGAGACACCAAAAUUUUACUUUUAACAAUACAUAUUAGGAACAAAUGGGUCUCUAUAUUAUCUCUUUUGAUAAUCGUAGCCAACUUUCAAGCAGCUCAACUAGUUCCACAAGAUACCUAAUACCUCACACAAGCAACAAACACCAGGUAACUCUAUCCACCAAGACUAAGACAGAUAGCAAGAAAUCACUAGUAUUUUUUGUCUAACAACUCACACAAACAACAAGCAUCAGUAAAUUUGUCCAUCAAAGAUAGAACAGAUAACAAGAAAUCAAUAAUGUUUUCGUAACAACUCACACAAGCAAUCCACCAAAGCUAGAACAGAUAACAAGAAAUCACUAGUGUCUUUGUUUAACAACUCACACAAGCAACACACCAUGUAACUCUAUCCACCAAGAAUAAAACCAAUAGCAAGAAAUCACUAGUGUUCUUGUCUAACAACUCACACAAGCAAUAAGCACCAGUUAACUCUAACCAUCAAGACUAAGACAAAUAGCAAGAAAUCACCUAGUCUUCAUUGACAAUAGGCCACAUUGUAGGCCAAAAUUUUACUUCUAACAAUCUAUCCGCAAAUGGAUCUCUAUACAAUGACCGGAAAAAGAAAAUACAAAGUUAAUUUACCGGAUUGCGGCGAUUGGAAACUUCGCGGUUGCGGAACACGACGGAAGCGAAAUCCUGCGUAGAUUUUGCAAAGGAUUUUAACUUGUCUACAACUGAAACAGCUGCUGCUUCCAUUUUUGAAAACCUAUGUAUGAAUCAGAAGAAAAAAAAAGCUUUGAGAUUGUGUAAAUGGCGUUUCAACAAUGGAAUUUCACCUUUCUCUACUCUUUCGCCAUAACUGUGCACUACAAGUAGAGAAGAUGGAAAUGAAAUUUGAUAUAUUUAUAAUGGAGUACUUAAUUUAAUUUACAUAUAUUGCUAUAUGUUUUUAAAAUUAUACAUUGAAAAAUAUAUUAUUUUUAUAAUUUUAGUGAUUUCUACGUAUAUUAUAUAUAUAUGUGUGUGUGCUGGGGGGCGGGGGGGGGUGAACGAGACAAGUAUAUACUAUGUCGUUCUUUAUUAUUAACUAGUAAAAUUAUCCGUGCUUCGCACGAGAAUUUAAUAUCACGGAAUUUAUAAAAUAAUACUUAAAAUCUAUCCGGCAUUAAAAUUAAAACACUAUAUUAUCUAAGAUAUAAGAUUAUGUAGUAACAAACAUUAAUAAUGUAAAAGGGAAAAUGAAAAAUUACUAUAUCUUAUCAUUUAGCCUUAAUAACAUAAGCAUAAAUUAUAAAUUAAUGAUUGUAAGAAUACAUACCAGUUAUGUAACAUAAGCAAUAGUUUCAGUGAACCACUCAACAUGAGUAAAGUAUACAAAUAUUUAAUUGUGAAGAAGAAAAAGAAGAAGAAGAAGAAGAAGAAGAAGAAGAAGAAGAAGAAGAGGAGGUUCAGAAUUUCCAUUGUGUUUAAAUGAGAGGAAAUCCCUCUAUUUAUAGACAACAAAGGGUAGUGUGAAUAAAUGUUUAUUGUGCCUUAUCAGAAAGGUUACAACUAUUUGGAAAAGUUGCAACCCUUCGGAAAGGUCACAACCUUUCAUAAAAGUCAUAACUUUUCACAUAAAAGUCGCAAUUUUUCAUCAAAGUAGCAACUUUUCAUAAAAAUCACAACUUUCAUGAAAGGGAAGGUUAAUUUUGUAAAUAAAUAAAUUAAAAGAGAAUUCUUGUUUGUGGUGGCGCCACGUAGGCGGGCCUAAUGCUCUCUUUUAUAUAUAUAUAUAUAUGACUAGUAAAUGGGCCCACACUUCGCGCGGUUAGAACAUUCUUCUUUAAAAUUUAUUAGAAUAGAAUUUUUUUGGUAUUUUGAUGUUAUAUUAUUUUUGUAUAACUCUAUUUUUAAGAGUAUAGAGAUUAUUCAAUUCUAGUUUACCAUUUGUUUUAUUAAAAGAAAAGGUAAAAUUACAAAUCAUAACACUAUUUUCUCUUAGUUUACAUUUCAUUUAGUGUACAUAGUGUCUUUAAUUAGAGAGUCAAAUAAAUAUUUUUCUCAAUUUUCUUCUUUUCAAAUUUCGUUAAUAUAACAUUAUCAAUUACUUUCAAAAUAUUAAAUAUUUUUAAAAUAUAUAUAUAUAUAACUAAUGUGUUUAUCAAGAGCAAAGGUCCCAUAAUCAUAUGAUAUACAUAUAAGUUAUAUGUAGUCAUUAUGUGUUUUAAAAUUGAAAUGCAAUCUUCCAAAAUUCAAAUUUCAUAUGUAAUAUAGUUAUGAUAGUGUUUUGGAAUUAAAGUUGUGCACAAACAAAACAUUAAUGAUCCUUGAAAAGGAUGAAAGAGAAGUAAGGGAUAAUGGAAAAAAAGUUCAAAAAAGUACUUUGGUAUGAGAGAAUAGUCAUCAUUGUGUAUCAUAAAAUUAUAAUUAAUUACUAGUUUUAAUUCUAUAAUUUGACUUUCUAUUUUUUUUACUCCUAUUAAUAUUAACAUUAUUAUGGCAACAACAAAAAAUCAUAUAAAUUUUUAGGCUUGAUCUCUUGGAGAAGAAAAGAUUUCUUUGGAGUAUGUUGUAAAUAAAUGUAUUCUGUAAAAAGUUAUUUGUGAAUCUGCAAUAGUUGUAUUUACAAAUAGUCUGCACUAACAAAUACUUAUAACAAUAACUUUACAGAAACAACAAAGUUUAAAACAUGUACUAAAAAAUAACAAUUAAUAUCAUAAGCCUACAUUAAUAAACGUAAAAAAAUAUCAGGAUCUGUAAUAAUAGAAUGAAAUAGAAAGGAAAAUCGAGCACACUGAAUGCACAGUGUCUCCUUGUCAGUGAGUCACUCAACAGGAGCAAAGUACCCAAAUAUUUAAUUGUGCAGAAGAAGAAGAAGAAGUUCAGAAUCAAAUAUUUAACUGUGCAGAAGAAGAAGAAGAAGUUCAGAAUUUUAAUUAUUUUAAAAUGAGAGGAAACCCCUCUAUUUAUAGACAACAAAUGGUAGUGUGAACAAAUGUUUAUUGUGCCUUACCGGAAAGGUCACAACUCUUUGGAAAAGUCACAAUUUUUCGGAAAGGUCACAGCCUUUCGUAAAUGUUACAACCUUUCAUAAAAGUUGCAACUCUUUAUAAAAGUCACAAGUUUUCAAUAAAAGUCACAACUUUUCAUAAAAGUCACAACUUUUCAUGAAAGGGAAAGACUAAUUUUGGAAAUAAAUAAAUUAAACGGAAAUUUUUAUUUGUGGUGGCGCCACGUAGACGGGCCUAGAGCUCUCUUUUAUAUAUAUACUAGACUAGAUAUGAAAAGGCUCGUUAACGGGACCAACAUUACUGUCUUAAGUUGUAUUUAUACGUAAUUAAUCAUAUUCUUAAAUAAUAAAUUAAUUUUCAAUAUUUUCACGUAAAUAAAUUAAAGAGUAAUAAUGGGCAUUACACUUUGAAGUACUUUUUUUAUUUUUAUAAAAUUAAAAAAUAACUUAUAACUUAUAUAAGUUAUCUCGACUAAUAUUAAAUACGUAAUCUAAUAUUCAUUUUAACAUUAUGUUAGAUAUUAACAUUAAAUUAAAUGACAAAUAUAUGUUGGAUAUAAAAUAUGUCAUCUUCUUUAAUUUUAUGUAUCUCAGCUCAUAUAAAAAAGGGUAAGCCUCAAGUAUGUUCUGAUUUGGUGGAUGUAGAUAUAAUUAACUGAGAUGACAUGUUUAUGUGGUUAACAUAACGAUCUAAUAAGCAUUUGUAAUCACGCACACAUAGUUUUUUCUUUCAAAAUUUGAACAUUAAAUGUGUGAAGUGUUUAGAUGUUCCAUCGGAAUAAGCCGUAGAUUUAGUAUCAAAAUGAAAUUUAUUGACAAAUUUAAUGGACUAUUAAUAUAUAAAGUCAAGUCAUAAAUUUAUUUUAUUAAAUAAUAUUAAAAUUCUAUAUCUAACUCGCACAACUACAAUUUCAUUUAAAUAUUUUUGUUUAUAACAAAAUAACAAAAAUUCGGAUAAAAUUACAUUUAUUUUAUCUAUCUUUAUGAUAAAAAUAUUUUUACUUUUUUGGUAUGAUAAAAAUUUGUUUUAAAUUUUUUGAUCAUGGUGAGAUGAUUCAUAUUUAAAAGUAUUUGUGUCAUUUAUGUCUCUAAUAAAAGAUAUUAUACGUAGUUUCAAAGCAUAAGUUAUGCUUUGUAAGUUUCUGUCUAGAUUCAAUUGAUAAAUCUUUUAAUAAUCUUUUACUUUUUAUGAAUUACAGCUACAUAUAAAUAAUUUUGAAAUUUAAAUUUGUCAUAUAGUAUGUUCAUGAAAUUUAUUAAUAUUUCAAAAAGGAGAUAAUUUGCUUAAAAGAAAUUAAUUCCCCCUUCUUAUUUGAGACAAGAGGAUAGUAGUAUUGAGAAUUAAUUGGUAAUUUAUAAAAAAUUACAUUGUUUGACUUUCCAAAACAAAAUUAUGAUAAGUAUUUAAGAAUAACGGGAGUAAUAAAAAUUCCAUUUUAUUGUUUAAAUUUUUUUUUUUGAACAUUUGAAUUCUGAAAUUACCAAAAAGAUUAUUUAUAUAGUUAAAAACAUUUUUGAAAUUGUACUAUUAAAAAAGCUAACUUGAUUUUAAAUUGUGAGGACUAAAUAUAGGGCAUGUAAAAAAUAUAGUGAAGAUUGAAUAAUAAAUGGGGUGAACAAAAUAUGAAUGGAGUUGAUAAUUGUUAAACAUUUAAAAUUUAUAAUAGAUAGUACAAUUGUAAUGAUGUAAAGAGAAUGGGUCCACAUUGUUACACAUGUUUAAAGGUUAUUGGUGAGGGAUUAAGACAAGGCAAAGUACAUAAUAUAAUUUGUAUUGUUCAUUGUACAACUCUUCAUUGCCAUGAUCGUCCUUCCACGGCUCUUCUAUAUAAUAGAAAUAUAAUUUUCUAAUAUUUUAUACCAAAUAUUUUUUAAUAACUCAAUUGAUUGAUCGGAUUAAUUAUUUUAUAAUCACGUUAUCCAUUUUCUCAUUUCUUUCUCUUGUUUUGAAAAAAAAAAAUGGAGGUGAAGAAGAAAAAAUAGGAUAAAAAACUACAAGAUGAAAAUUGAAUUCUCGCCCUCAAUUUAAAAUAAACAAUCAACUAAUAUCUCUUCUGUGCAAUAAUAUUUGUCCACUAUUGACUUUGCACACUUCUUAAGAAACUAUAAAUAGAAGGAUAAUUUUACUUGUGAACAAGCUGAAUGAUUCAUAUUAUUGUCACUGUGUAUUUAUUUUUUUCACUAUGACUAUAUAUACUUUCUUUUGUAUGUGAAACUUAUUUUAUAUUUGAUUUAUGAUUAUGCUAACUGCUUUGGUUAUUACAUAAGCUUUUAAUUUAUUUUGUUUUGUGUGUGAAAUAUUUUGGGUUCACAUGGAAAUUGAAAAAGGGGUGGUGAUAGUGAGCAGUUUUAUUUUAGUGUAAUUGAAAUUAUUAUUUUCUUAGUGUGCAAUUGAUUCUUUAAUUUAUAACGGUAAUUCACUAGUUUAAUUAUUGUGCACCAAACAUAAUAUAAUAUAUUGUUGUAUGUAACUCUCUGUUUUGACAAGUUUAAGAUAUUAGUACAUACUUUGUUGAGAAUAUUUUUAUUGUGUUUCUUUUGUUCUAUAUUUAUUUGUACAUGUUAAUCACAAAGUGACAAUAUUUUUUAAGGCUCAAUGGUGAAUCCUAUUAAAUUUGGCUUAUUAUGUUAUUGAUUGAGGGUAAGACGAAGGAUUCAAGUCCUAUCGUAUCAAGAGGGUAAUACAUCGGGUGAGAGUCCUGGUGCAUCAUCAUAAUAAAAUGUUGGAUUGGUCCCAACAAAUAAUGACCUAAAAUGCCUUCUUAUGGCUAAGACGUUGGGUUCAAGUCCCAACGUUUUAUUAUGACGAUGUAAUGAUGAGUGAGCAAAUUGAUAUGCUCUUGAUAAAAGUCAUGAAAUUUGUCCAAUUGAUUUGGUUCAUCCUCUUAUGUGAAUGUGUCUGAAAAUGACAAGUGCUUAAAUGUAUGAAUAUGAGUAUGAUAAAAUGUUAAUGAAAAAUUACCUAACUACACAUUUUUUUAACCCUAUUUUCUAUUAUUUCCUAUCAUUUUAAAAAAUUACAAAAAACCUUCUUUUUCCUCAAAUUCUCUCCUAUCCAGAUACAUAACUUUCAGACUUCCAACUUUACUAUUUUUCUCUCUUUUUUCAUGCCUAUAAUCACUCCACUAUAUCAUCAUUUACCUUUAUCACUCCUUUAUUUUGAAUUUUAAAUAUUUUCUCUCUCCGGUUAAUGAUUUAAAGUUAAUCAAGAGAUGGUUACAUUUAUCAUGCAGUGCUAUUUUAUAACUAAAUCAUUGUUUAUCAUAUUCAUAAUUUUUUUUGUAUAUAAUACAUAGCUACGUCAAAUUAAACGGGCAUGAUACAUAAAUAUUAAUUUAUACUACAUGUAUCGAUCUCAAACAAAAUAACUUAUGGCAACAAUUACAUAUUUAAUGUAUCCCGUAACAAUACAAUACUUAUCAAUUUAAACUAGAUACAUAAAUAGUAAUGUAUCAUGCACUAAUUUUUUAGAUAUGAUACGUAAAUUUGAAUUUAUACUAAAUGUAUCAAUUACAUAACAACUACCACACAAUAAUGUAUCAAUCUCAAAUCUAACAUCUUAUGGGCAACAAUUACUUAUUUAAUGUAUUUAGUAUAAAUACAGUACUUAUGAAUUUAAACGAGAUACAUAAAUAGUAAUGUAUCAUGCACUAAUUUUUUAGAUAUGAUAUGUAAAUUCGAAUUCAUACUAAAUGUAUCAAUUUACAUAGCAACUAUCACACAAUAAUGUAUCGAUGUCAAAUCUAACAUAUUAUGGGCAAUAAUUAUUUAUUUAAUGUACUUAAUAUAAAUAUAAUACAUAUCAAUGUUCAAGAAAUGAACAAGCUAACGUAGUUGCUGCCAGUUAUAGACUCAACUUUUUGAUAUGGGAAUGAGGGGUAGUGCCAGACCUAGAACACCUAGGUACUGCCUAUGGUGAUGACAAUUCAUAAAAAAAAAACAAGAUACAUAAAUAGUAAAAUUCUAAGUAACAAAGAUAUUCAUGAUGUAUAUCUCAAAAUUUUUGACGAUCUUCAAUUAAUUAGGAGAAGAAUUUUGAAUCUCAAAAUUUUCGACAAUUUUGAAUCGAAAUUGAAAGGAUCUUCGAUGAAUUGGAAGAAGAAAGAAUCUUGAAUCUCAAAAGUUUUGAUAAUCUUGAAUCAAAAUUAAAGGAUGUUCGAUGAACUUGAAGAUUCAAAAGGAAAUCGUUUGUCCAACAAUAAUUCCAUCACUUUUGUAUCAUUCAUAUUCACCUCGCUUACCCAAAAUUUCGACAAAAGAUUUUGAAUCAAAUCUGAAAGAUUUCUUCGUUGAACGAGAGAGCAAUUUGAAAUUUUGAAUUUCUUCAUUCUGUUAGGAUUUGCCUCUAUAUGAUUGAGAGUAAGAAGAAACAUAAACGUAAUUUAUGAGAUUUAAUUAAUUUUCAGAUCCCUUUUUAGUGCAACAGAAAGAUUUCUUCUUGUAUUAGAAUUAAUGUAUCCGGAUGGUGAAUUAGUGUAUCCGGAUGGUGACUUACGUAUCCGGAAGGUACAAAUUUUAAAGGAUUAUUGUAAUUAGAAAAAGAGUAGGGAUAUGAUGUAAUUUACUUUUUGCACUAUGAGAUUUAUGUAAGUUAUACAAUGUUAAUAGUCAAUUGUGGUAAUUUAAAGGAAGAACAUCAUGUGUUCUUAAGACGGGCCUUCAAAUGUGAAGGUAAUUUUGGGUCAUCAAAGUGGUAUGACAGGUUAUUGGUCACAUUGGGUUGGUGCAACCCAAUUUGAAAGUUUUGUAAAUCCUCCAUCAAAAUAAAGAAAAUACAAAGUGAUAGUACAUUUUGUACUUUUAAAGUGAUGUUGAUGUGGGUCAAAUAAAUUUGAUAAUGUCAAAGUAUAACUAAUAAAAAUUUAUGGAGCAUGUACAAAUGAUUAUGGUCAUUUCUUGAAGAGAAUGUGCCCUGUGUUCGUUUGGAUAAGGACAUGUUCAUGUAUGAUUAAAUAAACGUCACAUCUCACCUCUACGGGAGGUUUGAUGUAUUGAAUUUUUUUUUUUUUGACAUGAAUGGUCAUUUUGGUCAUAUACUUUGAGUACUACACAAAUAUUGUGGUAUGUUUUAUUAUGAACUAUUGGAGGACAAAUGAAAUAAAUACUAAUUCUUUUCUAUAAAAAUUGUGGUCAUGACCAAAAUUAAUAUUAUUGUGUGGGAACACAAAUUUGUCAUUGGUUGUCAAGAAAUAAAUUUUGCUUGUAAUAAUUUUAACUAUGACAAUAAUAAAAAAUUUCUCCUUGAAGGAGAUGGUCACCAUAAGAAUGGUGUUGUGAAAUUUGUGGUAGUACACAAAAUUAAUUGAGAGUUCCGAAAGGGCUAAUUGUUACUAUCCGGAGGAAUGAAAUAGUUUAUCAUAUUGGGGUUGUAGUAAGUCUCAAAAGAAACUUUUUAAGUUUCGGAGAAAUUGAAAGAAAAAAAAUUAUUAUAUUGAGAUUGUAAAUUAUUGAAAUAUUAAAUAUCUUCACUUUACUACAAUCAAAGCGGAUUAUGAAUAUUUGCGUAAAAGGUUACCUGUCUUUUCCUUGUUUGUUGUAUAAAAAUAUAGGCAUGAUGAAGAAAUCACAUGCAAAAGUAAACAAAAAGUUUACUAGAAUACAUAUCAGUUGGCAUAACCGAUUGGCCAUUCCGGUUCAAAUGUGAUGCAAAAUAAAUUGAGAAUUCACGUGGCUAUAUGUUUGAAGAAAUAAAAGAUCUUCCAGAAUUCUCUUGUGUUGCUUGUUCUCAUCAUAAAAUGAUCAAUGUACUAGCUAAGGUUGGGAUUGUAUCCUCCGAAAUUAUUUGAAACAUAUAAAAAGGUGAAUAUGGCCCGUUCACUUGCCAUGUGGACCGCUAACUACUAUGAUUUAAUAGAUGCAUCUAUGGUAUGGUCACAUGUGCAUUUGUAUCAACUUACAAAUUGGAUUUUGUAAGGUUGUUUGCUCGAAUUGUUAAAUUAAGAGUACAAUUUCAAAUUAUAUAAUUAUGUUGAUAAUACUGGUUGGUUUAGCAGAAAUUGUUUGCCUCCAAUUAUAGCUAGACCAUUGAUUAUGAGAAGAAAUCUCUCAAAUAAAAUUUGAUAUGAGAUGAGUUUAUUUAACAUGUAUGCAUCAAGCCAACAAGGUUCUCCCAUCACAAUUGGUUCAGGGUCAGGAACUAAAUAAUUUCCAUCUAAAUAUUUGAUAUGUGCACAUAUGAUUUUAUUGCUCCACCACGCACAAAGAUGGAUACCCAAAUGAGGUUGAGGAUAAAUGUUAGAUUUCCUAACAUUAGGGGGAGAUGUGUUUAGCAGCUGAAAAUUAUGUGUGGUGAAUUAUCUAGAUCAUCGUUAAAAAAAUGUGAACUUGAAGUUUAAGAGAUAAUUCAUUUGCAAAAUGUUGUUUUGCCAGAUAUAUUUACUGACCCAAUAUUAUAAUUAAGUUGCAAAUGUUCCAAUAAAUAGUCCUUGAAAGACAGAGCCUAUGGUACACCGAAAGUGUGAUAGACCAAUCGAUUCCAAACGUAUAACUCCUUGAGGAAGGAGAAGAGCAAAUUACCGAAAUGGUCAUGAUAAUGAGCUAAGUGCUCUGAGAGAGUACUACGACAUAGCACUUCAUAAGACCUUAGCAAAGGUUCAAGUACCUGAAAUGAUGAAAACUGAAGAGAGCUCAAUAAGUUAUGUCGAAUUGGAAUCGAUAUCAAAAUGAUUGUCGACGGUAUAUUUGAUAUGAAGUAGCACUCAAUGCUAUAAAUGGUUACGAGGAUCUUGAAUUCAAAUAUGUCAUAUAAUGUGGACAGAUAAAUGAUUGGCCAAAUUAAAAUGCACUAUUCAAGUAUAUUUUGCUUCACUUAAAAAAUAUUGUUUUUGAACUUAUAGUUCAUGGGUACAAAUGAAUCAUUGUGCGAAAGUAUAACUGUAAGAUAUAAAGUACGGUUUGUACCUCAGGGCAUAAAGGACUUUCGCAAAAGUCCUAACAUUAUUAAAUGGAGAUAUAUUCUCCAGUGGUGGAUGCAAUGAGACUUAUUUCAGUCUGGCAAUAGAUAAAAUACUUGAAUAUGUGUAAUGAAAUAUUAUCAUGUCUAACUAGACGAUGAAGGUUAUAUGAAAAUUCUUAAAGAAUUUAAAAGGUCUUAAAGCAAUUCCAUUGAAUACCCAAUGAUUUUGAGACUGCUUAACACAUAGAAAGAAUCUUUUUGAUCUCAUGAACAUGAUUUAAAAUGUCAUGUAUUAGUGCAAUUGGUGCACUUACAGAUUGUUGGUUAUGCAAAUGCUAGAAGAUUGUUUGAUAAACAUAAUGAAAGUUAUGUGAAAGGAUUGUCAUAUUAUGAUUCAAGUUAUGACAGGAAACUAACGAAGCAAGUGACUUAACACAUAAAAGAUGUGUGAUUUUCUUUGAGAAGAAAAGACGAGAUUCAAUAAAAUUGAAAUGAUUUGUAUGUAGAUGCAGAAUAUUUAUUUGAUCCGCAUAAAGCUCGAUCGCAAAUGGACUAUUUAUUUAUAUAUGGAGGCACAAUAAUAUCUUGGCAUUCAAAGAAUCACAUUAGUAACCACUUCUUCAAAUCAUGCAAAAAUAAUAUUGAUCUAUGAAUUAAGUCGGGAGUGGUUUUGGUUGGAAUCAUGAUCUAUAGAAAAUAUGUGAUUUUCUUUUGAAAAGGAUAUUCCAGUCACCAUAUAUGAAAAUAAUAUACAGUUCAAUUGAAGGGAGGACACAAUCAAAGGAGAUUGAACAAAGCAUAUUUCACCAAGUCUUUUUCACACAUGAUCUUCAACAAAAUGGUGAGAUAGACGUUCAAAGACUUAUUCAAGUGAUAAUCUUGUAAACUUAUUCACUAAGAAUUGCCAACAUCAAAUUUGAGAAGUUGUAAUAUAAGAUUGGAAUGCAUCGUCUCCGAGAUAUCAAGUAAAGUAUUUAUCAAGGGGAGAAAAAUACUUGUUGUACUCUUUUCCUUAACCAUGAUUUUAUCCCAAUUGGAUUUUCCUGGUAAGGUUUUUAACGAGGCAACAUUCAAAGCGUAUUAAAAGAUAUGUGUACUCUUUUUCCUUCAUUAGGAUUUUUUCCCACAUGUUUUUUUUCUAGUAAGGUUUUAACGAGGCAUAUUAUCUAUGGACAUCCACGGGAGAGUGUUAUAAAAUAUUAUAGUGUGUAUGUCCACUACACCAAGAAGUUACUCUCACCCAUUAUCUCCAUUACUUUCUUCCAUUAUGUAGAUAAUCAUAACCUCCAUAACCUCCACCUUUAUGCCUCUAUGUUACACUAUAAAUAGAGGUAUAAGAGUUCAUAUUGUAUAGACUUAGGGUGUACACUUGAAAGAAAGAAAGUUAUCACAUAUUGUUCCUCUUGUUCUAUAUUCUUCUUUGUCUUCCUCUUUAUAUUGUUCUUUUAUUCUUAAGUUUUACAACAAAUUAUAGUUAAAUAAGGUACCUUUGGGUUUUAAUCCAAGGAGACGGGGAGAAUGAUGAUGAUUUUGCACAUUAUUUGUGUUGGUGGAUGAAACGAAAGCUCCUUUCUAGAGUAUUUUGUGAUAAAAAUGUGUCAUUAAGGCUUUUAAAAAGUAAGUUCUAUAAAGUGAUAGUAGAACAAUAUUGUUGUACAUGACAAAGUGUUGGUCAAUGAAGAAUGUCCAUGUUUAGAAGAUGAAGAUGCUUGGAUGGAUGUGUGGGUUAACUAGGUGAUAUGAUUAGGAACAAAUUUAUAAUGGACAAGAUGGGAGUGACCUUUAUGGAGAUAAGAUGAGAGAAGCGAGGAUGAUGUGGUUCGAACAUAUGAAAAUGAGGUGUGAGGAGCCACGGAUGCGUCAGUUAAGAGGUCUGAGAGGUUGGUUGUAGAAGAAAUAGUAGGCAUAGAGGUAGUGCUCGAAAAGAACAAGAGGGGGGGGGGGGGAAAACCCAACUAGUAUAAACAAAACUUGUUAGUUAGAAGAUGUGAGAGGUUGAUUGUAGAAGAAGUCAAAGGGGUAGAGGUAGUACUCGAAAAGAACUAGGAAGAAGGGGACUAGAUAGAACUUGACACAACUUCAACUUACAUAGAAGAGGGCUAGCCCCCUCCUUCAGUGGUGGACCCAGAAAUUUUACCAAGUGGGUUCAACAUAUAAAAAAAAAUGAAGCAGUAUUAAAAUGUUGUGGGUGGGAAUCGUACACGCGAUGCAUCAGUCAAAUUGUAACCACUUUGCCGCUAGGCUGCGUGUUACUAUUGAUUUAAGUGGGGUCAAAUUAAUUAUAUACAAUGUUUUGUUUCAAAAAAAUAGAUUGAAUAUAUAUGUAUAUACAAUGUAUUUUUUCGACGAAGUGUGUUCAUAUGAACCCACUUGCAACAAGGUAGGUCCGCCCCUGCCCUCCUUUCCUCGUUUCAUUAUUGUUUCAUUUGCUUUGUAUCUUGCUAUUUGAUUGUUAUAUUUUUCUUGCAAUCCUACUUCAACAACAUCACUUUUGAGCUGAGGAUCUAUAAAAAUAGCCUCUCUAGUCUCUACCCCUUAACACUCCUAUUAAAUAGAAUUUAAAAAGUUGACUACAAUUUCACAUGAUAUAUAUUUCAGAUUAUUUAUUAAUUUAAACAACACAAAUCAUACAGUGAUUCUUUAUAUCUUCUCUGUAAUGUAACAUUCACAAAACACUUCUCAGAGAAAAUUGACCAAACACUAAAGUCAUAAACUAUUUAUCUAAUCAACAACAUAUUAAGUAUAAUCUCACAAAUGAAGUCCGGAGAAAAUUUAACGUCCACGAACAUUAUCCUUACCUUUGUCAACAAAAGUGUUUCUCAAAUCAUUUAAAAGUGUUUCUCAAAUCAUUUAGCCAAUGAUAAACUGCUAUGUUCACAAAAUACAUUUUCCUGAAACUUCACUUUGACCAAAAAAAUGUUCUUCUAAAAGAUUGGUCAAACAGUUUAUAUAGGAGAGAACAAAGCUUAAUCCUAUUAACUGCUUCGACUAAAAUUUGUUACUAAAGUGAAUACUGUUUCUCUUCUUUUCUAUUUUGUGUGGGAGUUACUAAAGGGUAUCUCUAUAUAAGGGGAGAGUGAGAUUGUUCACGGGAGUGUUUUUUUAUGUCCAACCGUGGUGUCUGAGCUAGCUUGCAUACUUCACAAGGACCAACUAGUGCGGAAUAUCAAUGCAGGAAACUGAGUGGCUCCUUCAUCCAUCACAUAGAGUAGACCUGGUUGCAACUUGCACUUCUUUCCUACGUUGAAAUUGAGAAAGCUUUCAACUUGAAAACGGUUCCACUUUCUUGGACCUCGUAGCAAACCACCAAGCUCAAACCCCAUCCAAAAUCAUCCUCAGAGGUAUCAGACAUGGUAACUGCCCACUUCAAAUAUUCGGGACUUGCUAUAUUUGUCUCUACCCAGCCACCAAUUUUUGUACUUUCAUCAAGUUCUGACUCUAGGGUCAUGGCAAGUGGCCCAUCUAAGAAGCAGUUUUCCACCAAGGACGCUUGAGGAUGCCCUGACUGUUGUAAAAAACUAAAAGGCAACGACAUAGCUGCGAGUCUAGGCUGUUGACGUGACAGAUUGGCCAUUUUGUGUAUGCCCAAGAUUGAUAGUUUUGUAUUGCUUGAAAGAUGGCAAACAACUUGACCAAAAGUGCCAAAACAAUACAAAACACUAUCAGAGUGUGGCGGCAAUGCAGAGACAAACUGAGCCAAGCAGGCUACAAUAUUUGAUUUUUUAACCAUCACAGCGAUUCCACUACCAUUUAGUUGAUUCAGCAGGGGUGGCCCAAAAGAUGAAUAGUCAGUCAGCCCCCUUUCCUGCAAAAAUUCCCCAAAAAAAAUGUUAUUCUAGGCUACACAUUAAGGCAACUAAAAAUGAUGUAAUAUAACAAGUAGAUACAAUAUGCAACAUCUGCAACAACCAACUAAUGACUCCCCAUGGGAUCUUCCUUGUCAGAUUACUUACCUUGCUUUUACAUGAAGCUACAUAGACAACUGAAAGAUGUAAUAUAACAAGUAAAUACACUAUGCAACAAGCCAACAACCAUGUAAUGACCUCCCUCCCCCCACAGAAUCUUCCUUGUCAACCUGUUGAUUUCUUUUUUUUGAUAAAGUUAAAGUUGUAUUCUUCAACAUUAAGGGUAUGCUGGCUACCUCCAAAAAGUUACAAGCUAAAUACAUAAUUACAUAGACCCUAGGAAAUCUACCAACUGUUCUACUUCUUCUAUACCAUCUUCUUUACUACCUAAAAAAACAAUGUUAAUGUCAAUUUUCUUUAACUUUCUGAAUAGUGUUGGUAAUAUUCUCAUGACACCUAAGGUUUCUUUCUCUCCAAAUAGCCCACCAGACACAAGUAGGUACCAUAGACCACCAUCUUUUUUGGGUCUUGCUCCCCACUCUCCUCAUCCAGCAGCUCAAAAGGUCAGUAGUAUGUUCUGGCAUCGCCCAGGGCUCUUGAGAAAUGCUGAGAACCAUGUGCCUAUUUUCUUGAGUUUUUCCUGAGUGAGACAUGCCCUUCUGGUGACCAACCAGGCGAAGCAUUUCACCUUGGUUGGGGUGUUGCCAUUCCAUAUUUGUUUCCAUGGACCAAGCAUUUCACCUGUUGAUUUCUUGUCAUUACUCAAUCCUAAUAAGUGCGAGAACUUUUGCACCACAGAUCAGCAACUCGAUAUUUUCUUUUGGUUUUGGUGAGUACAUCUGCAACUUCAUUUUACAGGAAUUUUGACCUAACCUUUUUUUGGGAGGCUGGUAACAAAACUUUUGACCUUAUUACUUUUGCAACUUCUUGCUGAUACUGACAAUACCAAAAAGAAUCGGACAAGGAAUUGAUAACUAUGAUCACAAAUCAGAAAGCACAUUCAGUAUUCAGAAGCAUUUACCUCACGUGAACUUGUAGGUACUGCAACAUCUCUGCAUCAACCACCGACUGGAAUGGCAACUGCAGAACACCAAUCACUGAUAUUGCUGCAUAAAGAACUUUUGCUAAGGAAAGUGGACUACCCAGGAUAUUCAUUUGGCCUCUUUCGCUGCCAACAAACUCUGCUACAAGUGUAUCCUUUUCACGGAUAGUUGUUUCAAAGUCAGCCUAGAAUCAAUACCAGUCCUAAUUGCUCUUUCAAUUGCAUUGCACUUGGAUUCAUCAAUGGUACCGAUCAUCAACAGUGCACCCACAGCAUCAAAUUCUCCCCUUACGUGAGUGCUAGUUUCUUGGAAUGGACUUCCUUUAGAAGAUUUAUAGAAUGCAAGCGCUCGCUCCAACUUCUCUUGUCUGUCUCUUAGCUUCAUAAUAUCUGAAAAAGAUUCUCGCUGCAAUCUCUUCAAGAUCUCAAUCUGGAAAUGAUAUAAUUGGAAGAGUUGUAAAGCACCAUCAUACAGGCUGUUGCUACAUAAGAAUUAGCAAAUAUGUCAAACUAAAGCUUGCCGAGGGGAGUGGAGUUGGGAAACAGUGAUAUCCUACAGCUAAUGAGAGUAACAAAUCCCAACCGAACUAUGUCAAAAUAAAUCUGGAUAAGUAUCUUUUUUUUUCUUUCGAUAAGCAAAAGGAUCGUUAAAAGAGAUUUUUCUCUUACAUAUGGAUAACUCUUUAGUCAAUAUUAUUUCCUGGGAAGCCACAUAUCAUACAGGCAUCGUCAUACAGCAGACAGUAAACAUAAAAGACUUAAGGGUACACAGACAGAGCCUUCUCAUACUUAAGAGACCCAUCAGAGUAAAGCAGUGCCCAAUAACAAAGCUUGUGGUAACUGGUAAAGUAAGAAUUUGACUGCUCAAGCUCUGAGUACUUCCUAAUGACACUGUUCCGCAGUUGAACGUUGCAUGACAGGUAACCGAUAUACCCACUUUAGAUCAAUAGUACAAAAGUAGGUAUGUGUACAAUCUCACCUUCCCCUGACCUUCUAAAAAGAGCCAAAACUACCAUUCUCACAUAAGAAAUAACAUUUUCAUAACUUUAACUGCUCUCCCUUUAGAUAUUCAUUUGCUUCAAAUAAGAUUCACAUGAAGGAGUAGCUAUUAUCUUGAAGAAAUGUUCAAUAUCAUACUUGCUUGGAUCCCUCACUCUGUAUAACUCUUACUGCACAUUCUUUUAGGAUCCUAAGUUGGGAAAAUUUGAAUAUAAUAUAUAUUGAUCCAAUG